This 2241-nucleotide ribosomal RNA is filed under the name Triticum aestivum (bread wheat). Its description in RNAcentral is "partial small subunit ribosomal RNA". The record is from RNAcentral. Lineage: Eukaryota; Viridiplantae; Streptophyta; Magnoliopsida; Poales; Poaceae.
AUGGCGCACAGCGACCUCGAGCCACUGCGCUCUGGCGCCGCCGCGCUGCCGUCCUCCUCCGACCCCGACUCGCCGACGACCCCGCGAAGGAACCGCGUGCGCGAGCUGCUGCGGAACCUGGACCGCCGGCUCUCGAGCAGGGGGCGCCAUAACCACGUCGACAGCGGCCCGGCGUCCCCUACGGCGGCGGGAGAGGCGGGGGCGCCCAGGAGGGAGGAGGAGAGUGACGAGCUCGGCGACGGCGCGCCGCCCGAGUGGGCGCUGCUGCUCGUCGGGUGCCUCCUCGGGCUCGCUACCGGCAUCUGCGUCGCCGCGUUUAACCGCGGGGUGCAUGUCAUACAUGAAUGGGCAUGGGCAGGCACACCCACCGAGGGUGCUGCUUGGCUUCGCCUGCAGAGGCUUGCUGAUACUUGGCAUAGGAUAUUGUUAAUUCCAGUGACUGGUGGAGUUGUUGUUGGUAUGAUGCAUGGAUUGCUGGAGAUAUUUGAGCAGAUAAGGCUAUCGAUGUCAUCUCAAAGGGAAGGUAUCGAUUUCAUGAGUGCGAUUUUUCCUGCAAUCAAGGCCAUCCAAGCUGCAAUUACUUUAGGGACGGGAUGUUCAUUGGGUCCUGAAGGGCCUAGUGUUGAUAUUGGUAAGUCUUGUGCAAUUGGGUGCGCUGAAAUGAUGGAGAACAACAGGGAACGAAGGAUUGCUCUUAUUGCAGCCGGAUCAGCUGCUGGAAUUGCUUCAGGUUUUAAUGCUGCAGUUGCUGGAUGUUUUUUUGCUAUUGAAACAGUACUGAGGCCACUCCGAGCAGAGAACUCACCACCCUUUACAACUGCUAUGAUUAUUUUGGCAUCAGUUAUAUCUUCAACUGUGUCCAAUGUUUUGUUAGGGGAGAAGGCAGCUUUUAUUGUCCCGACGUAUGAACUAAAAUCUGCCGCUGAGCUUCCACUCUAUCUUAUUCUAGGCAUGCUUUGUGGGGUAGUGAGUGUGGUAUUCAGGCAACUGGUUGUUUGGUUCACAAAGACUUUCGACUUGAUAAGGAAAAAAUUUGGUCUCCCUGCUGUAGUAUGUCCGGCUUUAGGUGGUCUUGGAGCAGGUUUAAUAGCUCUAAGAUACCCUGGAAUACUGUAUUGGGGUUUCACCAAUGUAGAUGAAAUUCUACAUACCGGAAAAAGUGCUUCAGCUCCUGGGAUUUGGCUAUUAGCUCAGUUGGCUGCUGCAAAAGUUGUUGCGACUGCACUAUGCAAAGGUUCUGGUCUUGUUGGUGGCCUAUAUGCCCCAAGCUUGAUGAUUGGUGCUGCUGUUGGUGCUGUUUUUGGGGGCUCAGCGGCAGAAUUAAUAAACUCUGCCAUUCCGGGUAACACUGCUGUUGCACACCCUCAAGCUUAUGCACUUGUGGGAAUGGCUGCUACCCUAGCCUCAGUUUGUUCAGUUCCAUUGACAUCUGUACUACUACUCUUUGAACUGACAAAAGAUUACAGAAUUCUACUUCCUCUGAUGGGAGCUGUUGGUUUAGCAAUAUGGGUCCCAUCGGUUGUAAGUCACUCCAGCAACAAAGAGAUGUUUGAGGCUACAUCCCCUCGCCAUGGUUAUGCGUCACUAUUACCCCCUGCUGAUAGGAGUGAGACAGAUGGGAGACGACCAGAUGGAGAUGAUGUUGAACUAGCAAUUCUAGAAGAUGAUCUAUAUCACUAUGGUAGUAACAGUGAGGAGAUGCUUCUCGAUGAGUUGAAGGUAUCUCGAGCAAUGUCAAAGCAUUUUAUCAAGGUUACAUCUACAGCCACUAUCAAGGAGGCAACACUGCUUAUGCACGAUAAGCAGCAAGGUUGUGUUCUUGUUGUAGACAAUGAAGAUUUUCUUGAAGGGAUUGUUACAGUUGGUGACAUUCGUCGCAGAGGAUUUGAAUCAAGUGAAGAUGCUAAUGGUACUGGGGAAAAUUCAUCUGAUCUGGAUGUGAAUUCUGCUCUUGUUACAUCGUGCCUCACACGAGGGUUUCAGUACCAUGGCAAUGAAAGAGGGCUUGUGACCUGCUUUCCCGACACAGAUCUGAGCACGGCUAAGGUGCUCAUGGAAGUCAAAGGUAUCAAGCAACUUCCAGUGGUCAAAAGGGGGGCUGGUCGUAGGAAUGAUGGGCGGCGUAAAGUUCUCGGGCUUCUUCAUUACGAGUCAAUAGGACGAUGCUUAAGGAGGAGCUGGAGCGGUGGAAGGCGAUUUAUCAGAGAGAAUUCCCAGCAGCCAGCAGUUAGCUGGCAGUGA